This 97-nucleotide microRNA precursor is filed under the name Marmota monax (woodchuck). It matches the Rfam family "mir-562 microRNA precursor family". The record is from RNAcentral. Lineage: Eukaryota; Metazoa; Chordata; Mammalia; Rodentia; Sciuridae.
AGUGGCAUAACUGGGUCAAAUGGUGAUUCCAGUUUUCUAAGGAAUAUCCAUAUUGCUUUCCAGAGUGGUUGCACCAAUUUGCAGUCCCACCAGCAAU